UCAAACGGGGCUCCGUGGCCAUUUUGCGGCGAGGCGGAGAUCGCCAUCUUCUCGUUCCUGGGUCGUGCCGCAGCAAUCCGCGUCCAUCCUCGCUCCAGUACCGCUCCCUCGCCUCGAACGCAGUUCAGCCAUCAUCUUGAGCCACCACAGUUAUCGUCAUGUACCCCAACAGGUUCAGGGGCGGCGGUACCCCUUAUAAUAACAACAAUAACAACAGGCGCGGAGGCGCUAAUCUCAACGUGCGCCAGAGUUUCUACGGAAAUCGCGACAAUAGGCCGCCAUUCCAGCAGCAUCAACAACAGCAGCAGAUACAUCAACAACUACUGCAACAGCAGCAGCAAGUACAGCAGCAGCAGAAGCCGCCUCAGGUAACGCAGCAAAAGCCGGUUCAGGUCCCGCCGCAGAAGCCGGUUCAGAUCCCGCCGCAGAAACCGCCGACUCCCGUCAUGGCGGCUCCUCUGGGCAUCAAGACGGCGCCGAGGGUGGAGAAGCCUGGGCCCAACAUCGUCAUCAACAACAGCAACAACAAGCCGCCCCAGCAGCAGAAGCCACCGGUAGCUGUACAGCAGCAGAAGCCACCGGUAGCUGCACCGCAACAGCAGAAGCCGCCGGUGGCUUUACCGCAGCAGCAGCAGCAGAAGCCUCCGGUGGCUGCACAGCAGCAGAAGCCGCCGGUGGCUGCACCGCAGCAGCAGCAGCAGCAGAAGCCGCCGGUCGCUUCACCGCAGCAGCAGCAGAAGCCGCCAGUCGCUUCACCGCAGCAGCAGCAGAAGCCCCUCACCCAGCAGCAACAGCAGAAGCCGCAGCCUCAGUUGCCCCAACAGCAGCAGAAGCCGCCUUUGACCCCGCAGAUACAACAGCAGAAGCCGCAGCAGAUACAACAACAGCAGCAGAAGCCGCAGCAGAUACAACAGCAGCAGAAGCCGCAGAUUCAGCAGAUUCAGCAGCAACAGAAGCCGCAGAUACAACAGCAGCAGAAGCCGCAGAUUCAGCAGCAGCAGAAGCCGCAGAUACAGCAGCAGCAGAAGCCGCAGAUUCAGCAGCAGCAGCAAGGACAACAGAGUUUGCAGCAGCAGCUUCAGCAGAAGCAACAGGCGAAGGCCGCAGAGGAGGCGGCGACCAAGGAGGAGCAGCAGAGGCAGCUGGCGCUCGACCUCAAGACGUUCAGGAAGCCGGGCGAGAAGACCUACACACAGCGAUGCCGCCUCUUCGUGGGCAAUGUCCCCAGCGACCUGAGCGAGGAGGGGUUCCGCAAGAUGUUCGCCAAGUACGGCGAGCCGUCCGAAAUAUUCCUCAACUCCGACAAAGGCUUCGGCUUCAUCCGCCUGGAGACGCGCACCAUUGCCGAGUUGGCCAAGGCAGAGCUGGACGGCAUCAUGAUGCGUAACCGGCCUCUGCGUGUGCGUUUCGCCACGCACGGGGCCGCCCUGUCGGUACGGAACCUCUCGCCUAUGGUUUCCAAUGAGCUGCUGGAGGAGGCCUUCAGCCUAUUCGGCAUGGUGGAGCGCGCCGUCGUGGUGGCGGACGAGCGUGGCCGCUCCACCGGCCGUGGUAUCGUCGAGUUCGCUACCAAGCCUGCGGCACGAAAAGCACUGGACCGUUGCACGGACGGCGCCUUCCUGCUGACUGCCUCGCCCCGGCCCGUGAUCGUGGAACCACUGGAGCAGUAUGACGAGGAGGACGGGUUGCCGGAGAAGUCCAUUCAGAAGCACCCACUCUACCAGAAGGAACGGGAGCAGCCACCUCGCUUUGCGCAGCCUGGCUCGUUUGAGUGCGAGUUUUCAACACGGUGGAAGUCUCUCGAUGAGAUGGAGCGUCAACAGAGGGACCAGGUGGAAAAGAACAUGAGGGAGGCUCGUGAGAAACUGGAUGCUGAGAUGGAGGCAGCUUCUCACGAGCACCAGGCCAUGCUCAUGCGCCAAGAGUUGUUGCGGCGUCAGGAGGAGUUGAGGCGCUUGGAGGAACUGAGAAACCAGGAGCUCCAGAAGCGCAAGGAAAUUGAGAUGAGACACGAGGAGGAACGCAGGCGGCGCGAGGAGGAGAUGAUCCGGCGCCAGCGCGAACAGGAGGAAAUGCUCCGUCGCCAGCAGGAUAGCUACCGCAUGAACUACAUGGAGGGCGCCAGAGAAGGCGAGAUGCGUAUGACUGAUUUGGGGGCCCGCAGCAACAUGUCCAUGACAGAUGGGUAUGGGCAGGCUGUGACGGGCAACCAGGGCCAAAACGCCAUGCUCGGCAUGAAUUACCAGCAGCAGGCUGGGGCAAGUAUGGGCCAGGCGGGGGCAGGAGCGACCGGAGGGAUGGGCAGCCCCAUGAUGGGCUCGGCCAACAACGGCAUGGCAACGCCUGUGCAGCCGGGGUGACGUGACCUCUUGUGGAGUAACCUUUGGUGAAACACAGCGCGGAGGAGGAGGGCGGGGGCACUGCAGAGUUUGAAAUGCAUCGGCAAAGAGUACCGCAAAUGUGGCUUCCAUCGGGAGAAUGAGGCACCGCGUCGGGAGAACACCGACGCUGCGUCUGCAGGACAGGACGCCAGAUCUGCAGGACGGGACGCCGGAUCUGCAGGACGGGAUGCUGGAUCUGCAGGAUGGGACGCCGCGUCUGGAGGACGGGUUGCUGCACCACAAGCUGCGAUUUCAGCAAUAAGAGGAGAUCUCCCUGCGAGCUCAGAAUCGCAGGCAACGUCAGCCUGCCCCGAACCAGUGACACCUCAAAUUAAGAAGCGUACCGCAAGCCACCACAAACGCCGUCAUCAUGAUCUGGGCACAAUUGGUCUCAGCCAGAAGCGGCGUCAUGUUUUGAGUAGUUAUAUGCACUUCAACCGAUCAUGCCAGCUUUCUACAGGGUAAAUCCCGAACAGCAACAACAACUUUACAGAUUCAUUCGUAUUAGAUCAUCGUUACGAGAAUAAUCGUCCCCACCCCCAAUUACGAAUGGACAGCCGUGGCAGCAUAUUAAACUGCUUCGGUAAGAUGGGGAGGCGGCUACUCCUGCGCAGCAGCUACUGGAAAGUGGCGUCGUGGUAGCGCUCCAGGCCUGCGCGUGCCUCAAUCUGUCUAAGGCACUGCUCCACGUCGGUCCGUAGUCUUUUCUCGUCCGCAUGCUGCGUCUACUCACAGCAGGGGGACAGCACAAUGAGGCAUGGUGGGCGUAGGGUGAGACACGGCGGGCGUAGAGCCCGCAGGAACAGCAAUGGGCAGGGAGCCGGCUUUGUUUCCCCGGUGCUGCACUUGUUACUCAUUUAAGGCCGAGUCGACCGGGGGGAGGGCCCGCUCGUGGGAAUCGAACUCAGAUCACCGGGGUUAGAGCGCAGUGCACUAACCACUGUGCCACCGUUACGCAGACGUAAUGAGUGUGGAGGUGUAUGCACGCACACUUACCGAAUGGAUGAAAGGGUUGAGGGUGGAGAGAUGGUGCCAUAACGAGCGGCAAUGGGGGUGUCUCCCUGACCGACGGGAGGCCACGGCUCAAACCCAAGUGUUACGGGCGGAGUGAGUGUUCAUGAAGGGAAGUUACUGAGCAGACGAUCCCUCUCGUUUGUGAAAGUUACAGGUGACAAGUGUUAUAUGACCGGUGGUCAUGGCUCAGGACAACUUUGGAGGCCUGAAAAUGAGUGCAUGGCUCGGCCGUGCUGGCGCAGCGACCUCGAACACUCUGGGACAUCACCACUGGUCACCCUGACCCAGUGGUGGAAAUUCUACAUUCCCUUUAGUCCAUGGGCCUGAGCAGAAUCUGGUAGCACCUGACCUGGCACAACUUACACAAGUAUUUUUUUCCUCAUUAAUACUUUUGUAGUGUCAACGAUUCAAAGACCCCCGCUCUCGGCUCCUUUUAUGGAGGUUGAAGGUGGGAAGCAUUGGUCUUAAACCAGAGACUCACUGCACAACAUGGGCUUUUUCUGCACUGCCCUCUGCUGCCCGAAACAUUUCCCUGCGGCCUCUUCACAUGAAGUAUGGUGAAAAAAAACAACCUGGCGUGGCAAGGCCUUCAUUCAUUGCUUAGAAAUAGCUGUAAAUUAUUUUGUGCAAAUACUCUGUACAAUAUACCUCCAUACAAUACUACGAUAGAAUCUACAUUAGGAAUCAAUUGAGUUCUGUAAAAAUAUUAAAUUAUGAAAUCUAUAAUGGUACAGAAUCCACACCAGUGGGAAUGUAGAGAAGGAAGUGUUACAAAUGCAAAUGAUUAAUAAUACAUUAUUUUAAACAUUUAUUGCAUGUUGUUGGCCAUGAUAAUUGACUGGAAUCAAUGAAUCGUGGUGUCUUUAUUAAAGUUAGUGGACAGAAGCAUGUGCACUUGGAUUAUACGAGGUCUUGGGAAACACUUCACAAAGUAUUUUGAGUUGACCAAUCUAGCAGCUUUGCACCCCACACACAGUCUUGUGGUACAGCCUCAUAGACAUCCACUGUUGGGCUUAUUGCUCUCAGCGGGCACCUAUUAAGUCCCACGUAAUAAUAUUUUACCUGGCCAGGUUGCUUGGUGGUAGAGCCAGCGGCUUGCAAUCGGGAAGGUUGCAGGUUCAAAUCUUGGUUCGGGUUUGACUCAGCCACUCAUUCGUUGAGGGUCAAUAUAUAAUGUACUGUACCUCUUUGGUUCUUUCGGUAAAGUCACGUAGGUAUAAAAUAAAUUAAAUCACGACGUUUCGGGCGCAUAACAAGCGUCCAUCAUCAGGUGGGAAAGCAUGGUCUGCUGCUGAGGUAGACUUUUUAAAAGGUUUGAAAUGGGUGUAGGUCAAGGGUCAUAAAGAAGUGGCCGGGGCGAGUGAUGUUAAUGUGAGAAAUUAGCAUGUAACUGUAAGAUAGCAGAGCGGCCUCCUCGACGAGGGCACGGAAGUGGCUAUCACUAAGUCGACUUCUCUAAUUGAUCAGACCAAGCAGAGCUCCCUAAAACCUUGGGCUGCUAGACCACCCAGAUUUUAUGGCCUUCCUAAAAUCCACAAAGUAGGUACCCCGCUCCGUCCUAUCGUCUCCACGAUUAACUCACCCACCUACAAACUGGCCCGAUUUCUAUCUGAGACUCUGCUUCCUUUUACUGGCAAGUCCAUCUCAGCUGUACUUAACUCAGUUCACUUGGUUUCUCUAAUCAAGGACAUCUCACUCUCUCCGGAUGAUUUGCUUGUCAGUUUCGAUGUAGUCUCUCUGUUCACCAAUGUACCUGUACUUGACACCAUAGCAAUUAUUGAAGACUUGGUCGAACAAGGACUGAAUCCAGAUGUAAAACAUUUUUUCAAAAAUAAUACUUAUUACCGGUAUAAAUUGGCACCAAUGGUAUUAACAAAUACGUCACAAUUUUGUCCUUAACUCGACGAAAUUUAUUUUCUAUUGCAUGUAAUUUGGUGUUCUUCAUCUGAUCCGAGUGCCCUAGAAGGUGUCCAAAUUUUACGACUCUCGUUCGAAAGAUAACUGCUGGAGACACGACCACAUUCCAUGCAAAACGCCGUAUGCACUGUACUAAGCCAUGCCAUCUAAACGUACAGUAUCCGAGCAGGAAUUGUAAAAAUAUCUCAUUUAACACGGCAAAACCAGUUGCACCAUUCAAUUUCGCUCAUCCAGUGACAAUGGUUGAGUCAGUGGUUGAAUGAAUUUGAGAAUGGUUGAACGAGUGGUUCAGUCAGUUAGUGGUUGAGGGGAGUGAGUAGUUCAGGGAGCGAGUGGUUGAGUGAUUGAGUGACUGAGCGGCUGAGUGGUUAAGUUAGUGAGUCGUUGAGCGAGUGUGGCUGAUUGAGUGAAAGAGUGAUGGUUGAGUGGUAGAGUAAGUGAUUAAGUGAGUGAGUAGCUUAGUGAGUGCGCGGUUGAGUGGUUGAGUGAGUGUGUGGCUGAGUGAAAGGGUGAGUGGCUGAGUGAAGGAGUGAGUGGCUGAGUGAAAGAGUAGUUGAGUAAGUGAGAUAGUAAUUGGCUGAGUAAGUCAUUAAGUCAGUGAGUGGUUAGGUGAGUGGUUGGGCGAGUUGUUGAGUGACUGGUUGGGUGAGCAAGUGAGUGAAUGGUUGAGUGAGUGAGUGGUUGAGUGAAUUAGUGAGUGGUUGAAUGAGAGUUUGAGUGCAUAAGUGCAUGGUUGAGUGAGUGGUUGAGUUAAUGAUUGAGUGAUUGGUUGAGCAAGUGGCUGAAUGAGUGAAUGGUUCAGUGAGUGAGUGGUUUAUUGAGUGGUUCAGUCAGUGGUUGAGGGAGUGAGUAGUUGAGUGAGCGAGUGGUUUAGUGAGUGAAUAGCUGAGUGAGUGAGCGGCUGAAUGAGUGAAUGGCUGAAUGAGUGAGUGGCGGAGUGAAUGAGUGAGUGGUUGAGUGAGUGAAUAGCUGAAUGAGUGGUUGAGUACGUGAGUCGUUGAGCGAGUGUGGCUGAGUGAGUGAAUGGCUGAAUGAGUGAGUGGCUGAGUAGGUGAGUGAGUGGCUGAGUGAGUGAAUGGUUGAGUGAGUGAGAGAGUGAUGGUUGAGCGGUAGAGUAAGUGAUUGAGUGGGUGAUUGGGUGGUUGAAUGAUUGGUUGAGUGAGUGAUUGAGUUAAAUAUUGAGUGAGUGAAUAUCUGAGUGAGUGAGCGGCUGAGUAGUUGAGUGAGUCGCUGAGUGAGUGUGUAGCCGAGUGAGUUUGUGGCUGAGUGAGUGAAUGGCUGAAUGAAUCACAGCUAUGAUAAAAAUGGACAUCAGCAUAUAAGUGGUCUUGUAUUCACUCAGUAAAUGAAGUUUAAUAUAAAAUUGUACACUCACAGGAUCGAGGAUCGAGUAAACCGAGUCACGGCUAUGAUUAAAUUUGGCAUUAGCAUAACAUUGAUUUAUAAGCAUACAAAAGGACUUUUUGCAGAGCGAUUUAACACAAAAGUCUGAUAGACUGAAUUAAUUUUUUUAGAUAAAAAGUACAUACAAAUCGGGCAUCAAUACCGUUGCUUUGUAUUAUCUGUGAAACGCAGAAUAUUUCAUAUAAAAUCGGACAUUUUGAGCUGACUGAGUAGAAUCAAUACAAUUAGUCUCGAUUCACAAUCAACAAAUACCAUAUAUGGUAAAAUCUGAUCGGUGAUUUUUAUGAUGUUAUAAAGCACUUUGAUGUUAUAAAGCACUUGCCCCAACAGUUUGUUAAAGGCUACACGGGGAUCAUUGUGUGCGAGUAGCUCACAGAUCCUUGACAGAUCUGGACAUUGUCCGAUCAUCAGUGAGCUCCUCCGGCAGGCGAGGCUGCGUUAGCUGUUGUCUGCAUUAAGAGGUGUUAACUAUCCCACACAGAGGAGUCUGCUUACAGUACAGAUAAGAGGUUCUUCACGUACCGUGCCCCGUGUCACCUGAAUGUUAAAUGGGGCCCCGGUAAUUCAGCGUCCACUGUUGAAUCAUCUUUCACCAUCAUCAUACGUCCAUUAAGGCCAAUACGACGAGGCCAUAGAUCAGGCAUGUUCAUACGGCCCGCAGCUUCGGUCUUAUAAUGUGUUAUUUAUGGCUCGCUAGCUCUGUCAGAAUAAAUCGUAAAACUUUAAAGAUGUAAUUCCUCCUUCUGCCACAUGGUGGCAGCACCAUUGUAAUGCUCUGUGGCUCUGCAUCCGUGCCCCGAACCCUUCUCGAAUUAUUGCUGCCAUGGCGACUGCAAAAAAAAGGAGAAAAGUUGACAGUGAGGGUCGCCGCUUUCAGGAGCGGUGGGAAUUACAAUACUUCUUCACUGGAAAUCGAGGAAAUUGUGUUUGUCUAAUUUGUAAAGAGACGGUUGCCUUGUUUAAGGAUUUCAACGUAAAGAGGUACUACGAGACUAAACAUGCUACAACAUACGACAAGCUAACAGGGAGUGACCGCGCUGAAAAAGUAAAGCAACUUCAAGCUGCUCUGGCAUCGCAACAGCGAUUCUUCACGCCGGCCUGUGAGUCAAAGGAAAACAUCACCAAAGCCAGCUACGAAGUGGCCAUGUUAAUAGCUAAACAUGGCAAACCUUUUACUGAAGGUGCGUUUAUCAAAGACUGUCAUAAAAAUGGUGGAGAACAUUUGCCCCGAGAAGAAGCAAGAAUUUAUUAAUGUUUGCCUGGCACGCAACACUGUGGCACGGAGAGUUGAGGACAUAUCGUCAGAUAUUCAGAGACAACUGGGGGACAGGGGAGUGGCUUUUAUUUCUCAUUAGCCUGCGAUGAAAGCACCAAUGCAUCUGACACUGCACAACUACUUAUUUUUUUAAGAGGAGUUGAUGACAACAUGAACGUGACAGAGGAGCUACUUGACCUCAAAAGCCUUAAAGGGCAAACCAGAGGAACAGAUGUAUUCGUUUCUGUUUGUGAAGCUGUUGAUGAUAUGAAACUACCAUGGAGUAAAGUUUAUGGGAUCAUUACCGAUGGUGCGCCUGCCAUGGCUGGUGAGCGAAGUGGAUUGUCCACACUGAUCUGCAAUAAAGUCAGCGAAGAAGCAGGCAACGCUAUUAAACUUCACUGUAUCAUUCACCAACAGGCUCUCUGCGCCAAACAUCUCAAAUUUGACGAUGUUAUGAAACCAGUGGCAAAGGCAAUCAAUUAUAUUCGCUCUAAAGCUCUAUACCACCGACAGUUUCAGCAGUUCUUGCGUGACAUCCAGGCUGAAUACGGUGACGUAAUAUAUCACAACGAUGUGAGGUCGCUAAGUCGGGAGUCCGCACGGCAGCGAUUUUUCUCUCUCAAAGAGAAAAUUGGACAUUUUUUGGGUGAGAAAAGACAACCAAUGGAAGAACUGUCCGUCCUGUAUGGCUGGCAAAUCUGGCUUUUUGGUUGACAUAACGAAGCAACUGAAUGCGCUGAAUGUUAAUCUUCAAGGGAAAGAUGCAGUGGUGAGCCAGCUAUAUGCUGACAUCAAGGCCUUUGAAACCAAACUGCAACUUUUCCAAAAACACUUGUCCCAAACAGAGCCCUGCACCGCGAACUUCCCAGCUUUGAAAGAGGUCAUUGACAGUUUCCCACAGGACAACAUCGGUGCGCAAAUGAGUUAUGCAACAGCUAUCGCAUCACUUUCUGUGGAAUUUAACAAAUGCUUUCGGGACUUUGCAGUUAUUGAAAAGGACAUGUUGCUUUUCUCUUCCCCCUUCUCCGUGGACCCUGAUGCUCCUCCACAGCUGCAGCUGGAGCUCAUUGAGCUGCAGUUUGACGAUGAGUGCCGCGGGAAACAUCAGCACUGUUCUCUUGUUAACUUUUACCGGCAGCUGGACAAAAGCAGGUUUCCUGAAAUGCGGUCAUUCGCUAAGAAAAUGUUGAGCUUAUUCGGCUCCACAUAUUUGUGUGAGUAAACAUUCUCAGUCAUGAACUUAAACAAGAACCGAUUGAGGUCAAGGAUGAGUGACUCCCACUUGCGUGGCAUUUUUCGCAUCUCAACCACUGCCCUCAAGCCAGACCUGGUCUCUUUACUGAAAUCUAGAUCUCAGUAUCACCCUUCUCAUUAGUGUCAGCAAGUUAUCUGUUCCUUGAUACAUCUGAAAUUGAGUGUUUUGAACGGUAACAUGUCACUAUUAACAAUGAAAAGCCUAAAGCACACUAAUGCACUUGGACUUAUGGCACUUGUUUUAUUAAACUCUUGAAUGAGAUUUGGUUAUAACUGUUGAUGUUAUGUACCUGUAGAUGUGACACAAACUCUUGCUUUCUGAAAGAUCUUGUAAAAGACAAGGGCAAAAUUCACUUGUUUUAAAGUUGAAUGAUAACAGUUCUCUUUGUAUUACUUAUAACUCCAGUUUAAAAUGUUCAUGAGGCAAAUAUAUUUAACUCAUGGAAAUUUAAGGUAUUCUAUACCGUUUGUUCAAUGUUAUCUGAUUAAUUGAAAGGCAGAAUUGUGUUUUUAGAGUUGUGGCUUACAUUGUCAAUUGAAAAAUAAAGGUAAUUGUGACAAUGACAAUUGUUUUAUAACA
Lethenteron reissneri (Far Eastern brook lamprey) is the source of this 9808-nucleotide RNA transcript. It is a transcript of the gene named paraspeckle component 1-like, with no coding region annotated. The record is from RefSeq and is a predicted model, not a curated record. NCBI's taxonomy places the organism in Eukaryota, Metazoa, Chordata, Hyperoartia, Petromyzontiformes, Petromyzontidae.